RNAcentral lists this ribosomal RNA (468 nucleotides) under uncultured bacterium. Its description in RNAcentral is "partial 16S ribosomal RNA". It matches the Rfam family "Bacterial small subunit ribosomal RNA", at positions 28 to 507 of the family's 1533-position model. The record is from RNAcentral.
GACGAACGCUGGCGGCGUGCUUAACACAUGCAAGUCGAACGGAAAGGCCCUGCUUUUGUGGGGUGCUCGAGUGGCGAACGGGUGAGUAACACGUGAGUAGCCUGCCCUUGACUUUGGGAUAACUUCAGGAAACUGGGGCUAAUACCGGAUAGGAGCUCCUGCUGCAUGGUGGGGGUUGGAAAGUUUCGGCGGUUGGGGAUGGACUCGCGGCUUAUCAGCUUGUUGGUGGGGUAGUGGCUUACCAAGGCUUUGACGGGUAGCCGCCCUGAGAGGGUGACCCGCCACACUAGCAAAGUGAUACGUCGAAGACUCCUACGUGAGGGAGUGGUGGGGAGGAGUCCACAAUGGUGGGAAGACAGAUGCAACAACGCGGCGAGCGGGAAGACGGCCUUCGGGUUGUAAACCGCUUUCGCCUGUGACGAAGCGUAAGUGACGGUAAUGGGUAAAGAAGCACCGGCUAACUACGUG